UUUCAAACGAAAAUUAAUCAGGGAACAAAAUCAAUUUCUUGCUUAGGCAUAUUUUUAUGGGAGCAAUAGCAUUUAAUUUGCUGUGCGUUUGUUCCGAAAUGUUGAGGUCUGUUAAACGAUUGAAAUGACCAAAACGUUUGAUCUUGAACGAAUUUAUUUUUACAUGUAUCAAUGGCGUUUGCAACAAAAUCUGAUACGCGUUGGUAUAAUCGUGAAUAAGAAAAUUCUAAAAACAUAAAAAAACUGAAAUGAAGUACGCUAGAGGUAGUCUCAUUGCGACAUUAAUAUCGUUAUAGCUAGGAGGUACGCUAUGUAAAAUGGCUGAGACAAUCGAAACAAUGUCACCUUAGUAAAAUCUCUCGAAAUGCUGUGAAAAAUCGGACUGGUGCUUAUGACAUCGAUAAAGUGCCGAAAAAAUUAUCGCCGCUUGUAGCUAACGCUCUUCUAAAGAUGAUCAUGAUACCUAACAUCACAAAUAUGGGACUCGAUUGAUAUUUUCACAGAAAUCUGUUUCGCCUAAUAAGACAAAUUAAGUCGGAUUUUUGUAAAUAGAUAUUUUUAACUCCGUCCAAAGUUAUACAGCAAAUUUUGAAAGAAUUUUUAUAUUCUUUUUGUAUGUAAUUUUUUUCGUUCGAGUGGGUGGAGGCAAAGGAUCGUGUUGGUAAAUUUUUUUUUAGAUGUCCACCAUUGGGAUGUUUUGAGUUCUGAAGAAAUACAAUUAGUGUCGUACUCUGUAUUUUAUUAAUGGUAGCUGAAUUAAGAAAUACGAAGUAACAAUGAAACAGAAUUAGUGCUGAUGAUUUUGAACAUAUGGGAGAUGUGUUGGAAAAGAUGUUAAAUGAACACAAAUGUAUUUUUAAGUAAACAUUAAAAAUUGCGUAAUUCUGAAAAACA
This is a long non-coding RNA of Megachile rotundata (alfalfa leafcutting bee), 894 nucleotides long. RefSeq lists it as uncharacterized. The record is from RefSeq and is a predicted model, not a curated record. NCBI's taxonomy places the organism in Eukaryota, Metazoa, Arthropoda, Insecta, Hymenoptera, Megachilidae.